GCGCUGGACACAGCCCAGGCCCGCUAGUGUCUCAAGAUAGAGAAGGUGUGGAUCUUUGGAGGGCAGCGGCCCCUUCGGGCUCAUUGGGGAGCAGCGGUCGGUCCGCGCGCGCCUCCUGCCGGCCUCAUCCGGAACUGCGGCCCUUGCCCCUUGACGCCGGCGGGACCUCCCGCCUAGGACCCGCACUUGCUUGCUACCUGGGCGGAACUCGCUCCACUGCCUCACUUCGAACCCGGAAACCCUAAGAUGGCUCUGCUCAUGCUAAGACCCACCAGCUCCGUGUCGGAGAGGCUGCGGCUGGCCCGUGGGGAUCUCCCAGGACCCCUCCGCAGCAGACAUUUCCCGCCCCACCACGGCCAUCCUCCUCCAUGGGGCUCCCUCCUGUCCAGGACCCAGCAGUCUACAGCCCAGCUGGGACCUGUGACCCUGGUUCUGCCAGCUGUCCACCACCCCUCCUAGCUUCCACUGAACCCAGGCCCAUCCCUGGCAGCGCCACCCUCUCCUGCUGGGCCCUCUCCUCCCCUGACCACCUGCAGAGGCCCUGUACCUGGCUCAGUCUAGGUGGGGCUACGUUCUGCAGCUGAAAGAGGUGGCCGCCAGGGCUCUGGAGAAGCUGCUGGGCUCCUCCACUCCUGGUCCAGCCACUCGGCCCCCAGAGACCACAGCCCACCCUCUCCUCCCACACACCUGGCCUUUGCAGUCCCCACUGGGGAUGCCCAAUGGAUCUUUCAGCUCCCCGUCUCCGGAGGACCGAGAGUUCAGUAAUGACAGUGGCCUGAAAAGAAGAGCUAGUGGUGGGAACGCCGUCUUGCUGAACUUCAUGCACACAGUCAUGUAAAAAGUGAAAAUAUUUUUGCCUGGAGAGAAGAGCCUGCCAGGCUACAGUCCAUGGGGUCACAAGAGUCGGACAUGACUUAGCCGCUGCCAGCCAAAGCUGGAGUUGGGACUGGGCUGUAGGAGAAGCCCUUGUGCCUGCCAUGGACGCCAAUUACCCCAGAGAGGAAGGUGCCUCUACUUACUAUCAGGCAGGAGGAAGGAAACUGCCCUGGGCACCCUCAACCACCCCCACAG
Long non-coding RNA from Bos taurus (domestic cattle), 1071 nucleotides. Lineage: Eukaryota; Metazoa; Chordata; Mammalia; Artiodactyla; Bovidae. The record is from Ensembl.